RNAcentral lists this long non-coding RNA (817 nucleotides) under Struthio camelus australis. RNAcentral's name for it is "lncRNA (ENSSCUG00000007362.1)". Lineage: Eukaryota; Metazoa; Chordata; Aves; Struthioniformes; Struthionidae. The record is from RNAcentral.
UAAAAUGGAUAAUGACAAUAUUUUGUUUUAGAUCUGAUGAACUUGCUCAUACAAGAGUUAUACUUUCAGGACUGACUAAAAGAAUUAAGUCAUUUUCAGGACAAUGACAACAGACCAGAAGACUUGGUGAAGCCACCUAACUUCUUAUCCAAAAGCUUUGUCUGGUAUUUCCAUUAUCACCCGGAACACUGCCACGUACUAAAAGACAAGUGGUAUGGCUAAGGGAUUGAAUGAACACAGUUAUCUGAAAUGUAGAUAUUUUGUCAUUCACCAUAUGUGCAUAAUAGCCUGUACAAGAUUCAGAUAAGUUUUGUAAUCUGCUUGCUUUCGUUAAUAUGGUGGAAGAGCAAGUUAGUUGACUGUUUCUUUGAAAACAUGUGCAAUGCUCUUUCUUUCUUCAUAGCUAUAGGAUAAUUCUGCAAGGAUUUUUAGAGUAACUCCACGGUUGAAUUCACCAAGGAAAGGACUCCUUGUACUCUGAAAUGGCUGUUGUUAUGUUUGCAAGGAUACAUCCCGCAGGCAGGUUGCCAAAAACCAAGAACAAUUCUCAUCACAGCUGUGUGGGGACGUCAGACUAGAAUGAUGUUCAAGCAACUUUGAAAAAGAUGUACAUUUUGUAACGCCAGCUUCUACAAGAUACACGCUGAGGUGCUACCUCUGUGGUGAGGGAAAGUGACAGCUGAAGAAAUAUAGGGAGCAAGUAGAAUUGAUGAUGCCACUAGAGGCGAAAGAGAUCAGCUGCGUGUCAGAAAACUGCUUAUUGCACUACUUAUUGCAUCAGGAUUCUGGACACACAGCCUGCACAAAGGACUGCUGA